AGUGAACGCUGGCGGCAGGCCUAACACAUGCAAGUCGAACGGCAGCACAGUAAGAGCUCGCUCUUACGGGUGGCGAGUGGCGGAUGGGUGAGGAAUACAUCGGAAUCUACUUUUUCGUGGGGGAUAACGUAGGGAAACUUACGCUAAUAGCGCAUACGAACUACGGGUGAAAGCAGGGGAUCUUAGGACCUUGCGUGAUUGAAUGAGCCGAUGUCGGAUUAGCUAGUUGGCGGGGUAAAGGCCCACCAAGGCGACGAUCCGUAGCUGGUCUGAGAGGAUGAUCAGCCACACUGGAACUGAGACACGGUCCAGACUCCUACGGGAGGCAGCAGUGGGGAAUAUUGGACAAUGGGCGCAAGCCUGAUCCAGCCAUGCCGCGUGGGUGAAGAAGGCCUUCGGGUUGUAAAGCCCUUUUGUUGGGAAAGAAAAGCAGCAGGUUAAUACCCCGCUGUUCUGACGGUACCCAAAGAAUAAGCACCGGCUAACUUCGUG
This 492-nucleotide ribosomal RNA is filed under the name uncultured bacterium. RNAcentral describes it as "partial 16S ribosomal RNA". It matches the Rfam family "Bacterial small subunit ribosomal RNA", at positions 29 to 507 of the family's 1533-position model. The record is from RNAcentral.